AUUGAACGCUGGCGGCAGGCCUAACACAUGCAAGUCGAGCGAGUGGCGGACGGGUGAGUAAUGUCGGGGAAACUGCCUGAUGGAGGGGGCUAACUACUGGAAACGGUAGCUUAUACCGCAUACCAUCAGCUUUGCCCAGAGGGGAUUAGCUAGUUGGUGGGGUAAGGGCUCACCAAGGCGACGAUCCCUAGCUGGUCUGAGAGGAUGACCAGCCACGCUGGAAGUGAGAAACAGUCCAGACUCCUACGGGUGGCAGCAGUGGGGAAUAUUGCACAAUGGGCGGAAGCCUGAUGCAGCCAUGCCGGGUGUAUGAAGAAGGCCUUCGGGUUGUAAAGUACUUGUAGCGGUGAGGCGUGACCCGCAGAAGAAGCACCGGCUAACUCCGGGCCAGCAGCCGCGGUAAUAC
RNAcentral lists this ribosomal RNA (406 nucleotides) under uncultured bacterium. RNAcentral describes it as "partial 16S ribosomal RNA". It matches the Rfam family "Bacterial small subunit ribosomal RNA", at positions 30 to 526 of the family's 1533-position model. The record is from RNAcentral.